Molecule: ribosomal RNA, 481 nt
Filed under: uncultured Aeromicrobium sp.
Lineage: Bacteria; Bacillati; Actinomycetota; Actinomycetes; Propionibacteriales; Nocardioidaceae
Description: partial 16S ribosomal RNA
Source: RNAcentral
CACGUAGUUGGCCGGUCCUUCUUCUGCAGGUACCGUCACUUUCGCUUCGUCCCUGCUGAAAGAGGUUUACAACCCGAAGGCCGUCAUCCCUCACGCGGCGUUGCUGGAUCAGGCUUUCGCCCAUUGUCCAAUAUUCCCCACUGCUGCCUCCCGUAGGAGUCUGGGCCGUGUCUCAGUCCCAGUGUGGCCGGUCACCUCCCUCAGGCCGGCUACCCGUCGUCGCCUUGGUGGGCCGUUACCCCACCAACAAGCUGAUAGGCCGCGAGCUCAUCCAUCUCCGCCGGAGCUUUCCACCUCCGAUCAUGCGAAAGGAGGUCAUAUUCGGCAUUAGACGUCGUUUCCAACGCUUAUUCCGAUGAGAUGGGCAGAUUGCUCACGUGUUACUCACCCGUUCGCCGCUCGUGUACUCCCGAAGGAGCCUUACCGCUCGACUUGCAUGUGUAAGCACGCCGCAGCGUCUCUGAGCCAGGAGUCAACUCGU